AGUGAACGCUGGCGGUAGGCCUAACACAUGCAAGUCGAACGGCAGCACAGUAAGAGCUUGCUCUUACGGGUGGCGAGUGGCGGACGGGUGAGGAAUAAAUCGGAAUCUACUUUUUCGUGAGGGAUAACGUAGGGAAACUUACGCUAAUACCGCAUACGACCUACGGGUGAAAGCAGGGGAUCUUCGGACCUUGCGCGAUUGAAUGAGCCGAUGUCGGAUGAGCGAGUUGGAGGGGUAAAGGCGCACCAAGGCGACGAUCCGUAGCUGGUCUGAGAGGAUGACCAGCCACACUGGAACUAAGGCAAGGUCCAGACUCCUACGGGAGGCAGCAGUGGGGAAUAGUGGACAAAGGGCGCAAGCCUGAUCCAGCCAUACCGCGUGGGUGGAGAAGGCCUUCGGGUUGUAAAGCCCUUUUGUUGGGAAAGAAAAGCAGCAGGUUAAUACCCCGCUGUUCUGACGGUACCCAAAGAAGAAGCACCGGCUAACUUCGUG
Molecule: ribosomal RNA, 492 nt
Filed under: uncultured bacterium
Lineage: Bacteria
Description: partial 16S ribosomal RNA
Rfam family: Bacterial small subunit ribosomal RNA
Source: RNAcentral